RNAcentral lists this transfer RNA (76 nucleotides) under compost metagenome. Its description in RNAcentral is "tRNA-Gly". It matches the Rfam family "tRNA". Rfam says of the family: Transfer RNA (tRNA) molecules are approximately 80 nucleotides in length. The record is from RNAcentral.
GCGGGCGUAGCUCAGUUGGUAGAGCGCGAGCUUCCCAAGCUCGAUGUCGCGAGUUCGAGCCUCGUCGCCCGCUCCA